UUUUUUUGUAGGUAGAACACAUGGCAAAAACACACUUGUGGUUGUUGUGGGUGAGUAAAAUCUUCAGUUCUUGCAUUAUGUUCCAGCAAAGUACUGAGGAAAAACUACUUAAGGGAGCAAACCGUCUUAGUUUGUAGUCCCUCUAGAAUGAUAUAAUCCAGAUCUGGCAAGUCUAGGUAUAGUGGCUAAAGGAGCAGUAAAAUCACAAAUAAAGGUUAUGCAAAGUUAAAAGUGGAUUUUAACACCAUCAUGACUCAUGACUAAUAUACUUACAGAGCAGUUGGGUGUGCAAAAACCAGAAACGGGAAUGCUCUGCCCUGCAAACUAAAAUUUCCAUAACUUUCCCUGAAUCAGAAGCAAACUUCAGUAUGCCGGCAAACUUCGUCUAAGCACUUCUGCUCUCCUCAGUUUAAAUACUGAAAUAAAGAUCAUAUACUGUAGAAGAAUGCAUUUGAUCUAUUUCAGAGAUUUUUGUUAAAACCGAUAUGUGCAACCCAGAUUCCUACCUCCUUUCUGCGCUGUCAGUGAAUCUAAACUUUCUUUGGCCUUCUCAGUCCACAUACAGCAAACUGAGUUAUCUAACAGACGUCAGCUGCAGAUGAAAGUGUUUGCUCUCCACUGUCAGUCCCCCCCUCAUACACACACAGCUGAGUGAUAAAAAACAAAGUCGACCAGAGCGUCUGAGCCGAGGUCACGACAGGAAUGCUGAUAAGGAGAGGCGGUCAGAGCGAGAGGCGUAUCUGCAUGUUGACAGAGUGAAACAAGCAGUGGGGACGCUGUGGUUGUGUACUGUAUCAGGCUGGGUCGUGUUUGUCUUAAACAUCAUGUUUGUUCUGUUCGCUGCGAGUGCUGCAGAUGAGAUUGGCGAGUACCAAAAGGUCAUUUUCACUGACUCUGAGGCUGAAAUCUGCACGUAAAUCUCUGCACGUCCUUCUCUUCAGCUCCUGACCUCUCCUGUCAGUGAUUUUCUCUCCUCAUUGCUCCUCUGCAGCUUUAACUGUGUCAUCCAAGCUGAAAUGCUCACUUACUACUCCUGUGUUUGCUCAGUCCUGCGCAUGUUUGCAUUCCACUACCCUCCUCCAAUCAGGAUGGACCACGACUGAAUCUUUUUCGUGUUUUUAUUUGUUUUUUUGUGUUUAGCCCAUCUAAGAAGGUAAACAGGAGCAACACAAGCAUCUUUGUUGGGUUGUUUUUUUUGAGAGCAUGGCACCAAUACGGGUAACUCCCAUGAGAGCCGGACUCAAAAUCCAAACAAAGAGGGCCCUAUGAUAGGAAGGGUGUAGAGGAAAAAUAAAAACUAAAAAGUACAGUGUUAUUUUGGACAGGCCUUGCCCAGAGUACUGUGAAAUAACAGUCAGUGUAAGAGACACUGCAGGCAGCCUAAUCGUCUUGUUUGCUCUCUUCGCUCAAAACGAAGCAUCAAUAUAAAAAUCAUUCAGUUUCAUAACGGGACAAAAACUUCUCACAGUAGCUUUUAAGAGGGGCUUUUUUCAUAUUUUGAAAACAAAUGUUAAUUUAAAGUGUCGGAUGCCAGUACUGUACAUGAAAAAGUUUCAGACUGUAAGGAUUAAUGGGUGGGUUUAAUGUGUGGAUUAAUGGGUGGUCUGAAUGGCUCGCUCAAAAAAGUCACGAAAAUUCAGCAAGAUCAUAGAAUAGAAGAAUAGAAUAUUCUUUUAUUGAUCCCCCAUGGGCGAAAUUUUUUUGUCACACCAGCAUCACAGACUAAGAGUGUAAAAAUGCAGCUAUAAAAAUAAAGAUCCUAAUAUUAAGAACUUAAAUAAAUGUAAUAAUUAAGAAAAAAAUUAGAAAAAGGAAAAAGGGAGAAGAAAAAUAAAACUAUCUACAAUAUACACAAUUUAAAUGCCAGAAAAAAGUGGUGGUGUAAAUCCAGUUAUUAUUACAGUUCGUUGUAAAGUCUUAUUUUUUUAAUUAUUAUUAAUUUAUUAUUUUUUUUAUUUUUUAUUUUAAAAUCAAUAUGAGAUUCUAAGGACUUUCACCUUCCUUUGUGUCGGACAUCCCUGAACCAAUCCACACUAAAACACAGAGGUCCAUCUUUGUGGAACCAACUACCUAACACUCUACAGUCAGCAUAUUCAUUAUCAUCAUUUAAAAGGCAAUUAAAAAGGUCAUUUCUGUGAUAGUUUUGAGUAACUGAUCUUGGAUCCAUUCAAUUUGACUGGAUUUGUUAACUUUGUCAUAUAAUUUAUAUUUCCUUGUUACUGUUAAAUUGUAUUGUUGUUUCUGCUUGUUUAUUUUAUUUAUAAUAAUAAUAAUAAUAAUAAUAAUAAUAGUAAUAGUAAUAAUAAUAAUAAUAUUAGUAUUAUUAUUAAUUUUUUAUUAUUAUUAUUUUUUUUUUAUAACUUGCACUGCUGCCUAGAUUAAUUGUAGCUAUAUCAGGGGGAGGUACUUUGACAAGCUUUUUUGGCUUCUAACCUCCCCUGCACAAUGCUGUUUUAAAUCUAUUAUAAAAUUGUUCUCUAUUUGUCAUGUGCAAAUGAAUAAACUAAACUAAACUAAACUAAACAAAUGUACUCAAAUUGUGACAUCACCAGACAGUGAAUCGUCUUAAAAGGGCAAAUUUAUCUUUAAAAAGAAAACAAAAAAACCUUUGUUGCAUGGUAAAAUAUGUCAAAAGUAAAAGGGAGAUUAAAAGUAAAACAUCUAAGUUAAAGUAAAGUAAAAUGUUUCAAAAAUUUUUUUCAAAGGCAACAGUAAAUGAGGCUCCUAGAAUGUUGGGUUCUGGAGUGCUAUGGGAACCUUAAAGGAAAAGUUUCUUAAAGGAAUUUAAAGGUAGUUCUUAAAUGGCAAAAUGGCAAAAACAAUGAAAUGGCAUAAGUGUUUUUUUUAUUAAAAUAAGCAAAACUAAUGAAUUUACAAUAUCUUUUGAACCCCUAAUGAGAAUAUUUGCUGUGGAAAAUGUAAAAAGGCUCUUUUUGCAGCAAAUCCCACAGUCAAAAACAACUAUAUAGAAAAAUCCCUCUUGUCUCUAAUAGUCGUGUUUGCUUUAGUGAGUUUAAUCUUCCGAGGUGGUUGUCAUUUCUUCUUUUCAACCAAUUAUGCAUUUAUAGACAUUGUGGCCUCUGGCAAAAUGCAAAAUCAAUCCUAAUGAUUAACUAUACGUUCUGAAUAAUCAACGAACUAAAUAUUUAGAUAAAAUGAAAUAGUAAAACCUCCAUCGAACCAGAGAAUUGUAAUUUAGAGCUAUGAUUACGAUGCAUUUAUAUAACAGACGCUGGGAGCAGAAAAAAUCCUGCAUAAAAGUUUUUUUCAGCACGUAUGAUCUAGUUCUAUAAAGAUCAAAACAGCCAGGAAAUCUACACAUGCAAGUAUGGAGAUGAAACCUGCACGUGUGAUAGAUCAGUGCUGCAGUACAUUCACAUGGGAGUCAGUCCAGAGUGCUUGUAGUAGAGAUGAAAACACUUACAGAACCUCCUGGGUAUGCUGCCCUCAACGUCUUAAAUCCUGAAUCAGAAAAGGAAACUACAUGUCUGGUUUGAUGUUUCUGUGAUGGUCCCGUCUGUACUGAUGUGCCGUUUAACAAGAAUUUAAUGAAAAGUCUGCAGGCUCCCCCAUGUCUUCUCUGAGCCCCCGUCACCAAAGAAUGCUCCGGACCGCUCCGAAAAUCAAUGUCAACCCUGAACCAACUUUGUCCUGUCAGGACAGUUUGGUGCACUCGACUGAGCACAUUAUGUUCCUGGAGUCACAUCUGAUCUCUGACUUUGAUCACUGCAUGUUUUUGUCUUUGCUUUUUAUCCUCUGAGGCCCCUCUUGAGCAUUGUCGCCUCUGUAUUGGCUUAGCUAAACUUAGGUCCACAGAGGGAUGUUGAGAAUUUCAGGGAUACGCUGUGUGAACAGGAUGUAUGGACAACACCGCUCAUACUGUAGAUCCCUGUUCACACAGAAGAAGGAACUUGACGGACUUGAUUUGUAGAUCAAUAUUCUUGUAUACCAAACAACAUUAUUUUAUUUUGUCAAUGUAACAAGUAGGAUUGAUUCGUGCUGCUGUGUUUUCCAGUAUAUUGGCUUGUUUCUUGUUAGACUAACCAUUUUCAAAUUGUUAUUUCAAUGUCCAAAACUACUGGUGUGGGGAAUCAGUCAGACUUGAUCUAUUUGUUGGGCUUCGACUGUUCUCAUGAGGAUUUUAUUACCUUCGUGAGGACUCCGACUCCCACCUCUAAUCCAAAAGAGCUUUUUCACAAUUCUAUUUCUUUAUACUUUUCUCACACAAAUAGAUAAAAUCAAAACAAUGAGAAAGAAAUCAUAUACUGCACUAAAAUGAAUAAAUAAAUAUUUAAGUAAGAGUAGGUACAACUCUGAACACCUGCCUGUCAUUCUUGUGGGUCAACAAUUCAAUCAUCUAAACUGCUCCGAACUACCUGGACAUAUUCUCUCUCUAUGGCUAUCUAACCAACCAACCAACCAACCAACCAGCAAGCUAACAAAGCAACCAACCAACCAUCCAACAAACAAACCAACAAAGCACCUAGCCAGCCAACCAACCAACCGACUAGCUAGCCAGCCAACCAACCGAGCCAACAAACCAACCAACCAACCAACCGGCUAGCUAGCUAGCCAGCCAGCCAACCAGCCAGCUACCCAUCCAACCAACCAACCAACCAACCAACCAACCAACCAACCAACCAACCAACCAACCAACCAACCAACCAACCAACCAACCAGCAAGCCAACCAACCAACUUAUCAAAGAACCAAACAAGCAACCAACCAGCCAGCCAGCCAAUUAACCAGCAAGCCAACAAACCAACCAACUAAAAAAAACAACCAUCCAACCAACUAACAAACCAACCACCUAGCCAGCCAGCCAACCAGUCAGCAAACAAGCCAAGCCAACCAGCCGACAAACCAACUUGCCAGCAAACAGCAACUAAGGCAAUCCUAUCUAUCUAUCUAUCUAUCUAUCUAUCUAUCUAUCUAUCUAUCUAUCUAUCUAUCUAUCUAUCUAUCUAUCUAUCUAUCUAUCUAUCUAUCUAUCUAUCUAUGAUUUAAUGGGAACAGGGGAACAGCUACAUACUUUGCUGUUUAGUGAAUUAGUUGUGUAGCAUCAGGUGUCUGUAAUCCUUCAAGUUAUUUUAGUCAGUGGUAUAUUUUGAAUGUUCAUGUGCUUUAGAGCCUGAAAAGAAGUGUCUGCAGGCUGGUGGUAUCAGCUGUGAAUUCUAUACAAUAGGAGUGACCCCUCAUAGUGCAGACACAGAAAGAAAAGCUGGGAGUUGGCCACUAUAAAUUACACUGGAGCUAUUCAAGUGUUUCUAUUCUGCUCGCUGACAUGAUCAUUAACGGAUGGCACUGUUAGACCACUGGAGGGCGACAAAGUCUUGAUGAUUGCUGUUGAAACAGGUGCUGACUACUCAACAGCUCUUUUUAACCUCAGUCAUGUCUUGAUCCUCAUUUUUUCCAUCGUGUCUGUGAUCUUUGGAUGAAAUGAUGAUCCUCACGCCCAUUGGCAGCUCAUUUGUGGAAAAAAAGAUCUGUCUUUGUUCUCCUCUCUGGAGCCCUCCCUGCUGUGACGGGCUUCAGAUGUCAGGUUUCACCCCCGCCUUUGCGCUGCCUUGAAAAGUGAAGAAUUUCCAAAGGGGGAGACUUCACAUCGUUAGGGCAAGAGAAGAAGAAGAAAAAAAGGGGUGUUGGGAAGGGAGCAGAGGGAGCAGAGGGAGCAGGCGUUAACUUGACCAUCAUCACAGAGUAAGUUUAAAUAAUCCAAAAAACAUGGUGUUCCUUUCUCCCUGCCUUCAUGUCUUUAUUAAAGGUUGUACGCUGAAGGUGGAAAACAUCCAGAUAAUAACACAGAGGCCGACUCAAUCAAUUUCAUGGUCUGUUUAAUGGAAAAGUGGCAGGUUGUCCUAUUACUUAGUACAGUCAGUGUGUCUGAUGUGGCAUAAUAGAUGGAGAUAAAACAGAGGAAGGUUACAUCACCAAUCCACAUAUCUGAUUAAAUCUGAAGCCUGAGGGACUUGGAAUAAAUUUGGAUGUAAGCGUAAAAAAAGGCGAGUCAUCAGGUGGGAAUUCAGCUUAAUUUGAUUGCAACACAUCAAAUACAAAAACUGCCGGCUUUUCACCUAGAUGAAUAAAAUCAGAAAUGAGGUGCAUUGAUAGGUUAAGUUUUCUAAAUGUGGAUUAAUCUUUUUAAAGUUAUGAAUAAGUGAACAGGUGGCUACGUUAAUAAGAGUCCUAACAGGGUGAGCAGGACCCUGACACAAAGCUAAGGCUACGUUCACACUGCAGGUUAUGAUGCACAAUUCGGAUUUUUUGUGCGGUCGUUCGCAUUACAACAACAGAUGCGGCAUCUAAUGUAAACGGAAUGCGUCCAAUGGUGACAUUUGUCGCAUAUUGAUGACGUGUAGGUCGGAUGAACGCGACCUGAGCGUCCACACUGUGGUCAUAUAAGAUAGAUAUCCAAUUUAUAUCCACAAACAAAAGAGGCCUGGGUCGGAUUUGAAAAAAUCUGAAUUGCACUGUUCACACUUAAAUGAAAAAAUCAGAACCAAAUAGUUAAAUGGUCUUCUUGAGUUACAGCGGAUAGCGUCUCUAUUCUAAAUGACGACUCCCACCCUCUACACAGCGAGUUCCAGCUUCUCCCCUCUGGACGGAGGUUUCUAGUCCCCAAAUGCAGAACUAAACGUUACAGAAACAGCUUUGUCCCUGCUGCUAUUAUUGGAGUGAACAAGUUGCAGAGAUCUUGCACAUAAUUUUGCACAAUUAGCACAUACUGCGGAGAUAUUAUUCACUUACUUAUUUAUGAUGGUUUUAAACUUGUUUUUACCUGGGUUUGUAUCCAGAGGUUGUUUAUUUGGGUUAUUGACGUUUUUCUCCCUCUCUUAUGUCCUGACUGGGGAGCCUUGGGGCGCUUUUAUCAUGUGCUCUGUUUUGUGGUCGUUUUAUAUUGUACUGUAACUUGUAUAAAUGGACGUCAUCACUUUAUUCCACUGCAGAACAAAUCUACCUUCGGGUAUUAAUAAAUUAACCUGAACAUAUGGUUAAAAAAUUGGAAUUAACCUGCAGUGUGAACAUAGCCUAAGUCAGUGUUUAUCACCUAACUAGAUGCAUGAAUGACAUCAAAUUUUAGACAUCAAAUAAACACAAUGUCUUUAAAAAAGGUUAGUGUUAUAGUGACGUCUUCUUUCUUCAUUAUUAGAUCACUGAACAAAACUAAAAUACAGGCUACAGUUCCACAUCCUCAUAUUUACAGCAUCUUCUGUGGGCACCGUGCAUGACCUUGCAUGAGGCUUUUUUACCCAUUUCUCUCUCAUGACUGAUCCUUCUCUGUCACACGAAUUAUUCGAGGAGGAGAGAGUUUAAAAUAGGAGACACUUUUUGAAUCUCUGACAGAAAAAAGCAUUUUCCUCCAGAAAGCUCAAAGGUCCUCACAAUCUUUUGGCAAGAUGUUGGGAAGCAGACACCAUGAUGAGCUGUGGCUGACUUUUCUCACCAGUAGGGGGCACUAUGGUUCCACUGCAGCUGCUCUGUCUUCAAUAUCCUCUGCACAGCAGCUCUCUGGUGUACAAAGAGUGGAAAAUAUUAUAUAAUGAAAUCAUCUUGGAAGCAGAGGAGCAGUCGCCUAGGAAUUUCCAGAAACUCAAUAUCUCUCAAUGUGCGAGCAGUUUCUGUCAUUGGUUCUCGUGUCUGCUUUUUGCCUUUCAAGCUUUUAUUAAAACUAUCAUGAUAUUGCAGAAAGCUUUUCAUUUCGGUGUUGAUAUUAAGUUUAGUGUGUGUCUGCUGUCUCUCUUGGUAUUUGGCUCUGUAAUUGGAGUGUAGACCUUGGAUGCUUCCUUUAAGAGUGAUGAUUGUAACCUUGUCCAAAUACGCCCAGUGAGCGUGCAUCAAGUGCAUCAAGUGCAUCAAGUGUGUCUGAGGUGUAAAUAUUUCAUUAAAUCUGACUCUAUUUUCAGGUUACUGUUGAGUUGAAUAAAUCCAAGUCAUAUGCAGUCCUCAGUGAGAAAAACAAGUGUGAAAUGAAGCAGUGUAAUGUUCCUGCUCCAGUUUUUUUUGUGUGUGUGCAUCUGAGCCACACUUGAAUCCUUUCCUAAGACCCCCUUUAACUUUGAAAUUAAAUUCUAAUCUCCAUUCUCAUGCAAGUGCUUAAAAAGGAAUAAGCAAAUUUCCAUUUAAAUCACUUCUCUGUUGUAUAGCACCUUGGGUGAAGAAUUAAAUUUAGGUUUAAUCAGUAUUGAAUGCGGGCUUACUUCAGGCAUUACACAAAUUAAGAUUUAUGGAGUCAGACUGCUGGAAACCACCCACAAUACAAUAAUCAUUACAGCACAGAUAAUUGUCCACCAUUGUACACAUCAUUAUGGAAGAGAUACCUGUGGAAAAGGGGGCUUCACUAUUCUUCUGCAAAUUAGAGGGGAGUUUCUACUCAUUAUAGAAAAUAUUAAGAGUUUUAUAAUCCAGUCCAAACAAUGCAAUCCUCCGUCCAGAAUGACCCAUUGAUGUUGGACAUCAGCCCCUACAGCUUUAAUGUACUUCCCCACCAUGAAACCAGCAUUGAAUCCACGCUGAAAUAUCAAAGUACCUUCUGAUCUACUUUUACCAAGGUGAAGGAGGAGUUGCAGUGGCUGAUUUUCAUGCUGCACUGCAACAGCCUCCCAUCUGCUUGCAUUGCCUGGUCCUGUUAUAUAAGGAGUCGACUGCAGUUGUUCACAGUGCUUGAACCGCAAGAUUUAACUUCUUGAUUUGAUUUGUUUCAGGCUUUUGGUCCAUCUACCACUUUCAUCUUAACAGAAAUAGAUCAAAAACUUAUGCUGUCAAUUUGGUGCGGACAUUCUUGAUCCCCAGAGGCUGGACCCACAUGACUUUAGCGAUCCUUUGACUUAUAAUGAGACUCACAUCAGUGGUUUGAGGUGAAAUGUCUCACCAUAUAUAUACAUGUCAAAUACAUACAUGUGUAUUUUCAUAGUGUUUUUCUAUUUUGAUGCUGAGAAGUUUGAUUUUGAUCGGCAGCUCUAUUGACAAAUGCAAACUCCUGCAGAAUUUCUUUUCACCAGAUUAUCAGAGUAAAGAAAAAACAUGACAAACACGACAUGGGUCAUUCAGCUUUCCAGAGCCACGAGUAUCUGCUCCAGAUCAACACAAGAAUCUGAUCUGACAUGGACUAAACUGAUCUGAGGGGGUCUUUAGUGUUUUAUCAGUAUAAGGCAUGACUUUAUAGGGCUGGACGAUAUAGCCUUAAAUCAAUAUCACGAUAUAUUGAGCAGUUCACUUCAGUAACGAUAAAUGGAUGACAACUACUCCACAAGCUGCUCUCCCCCUCCCACAUUAACUUCGUCUACUUCAGCCGCUACAACUUUUGAACCGUGCUCCAUCUCCUCACCUGUCUUUCCCUCUUUGUUACGGACUGGAUGGGGUGGAGUCACGUCUCUGACGUAGGACAGCAUCUUGAAGGGACAUGAGACCAAAGCCUACCUACACACAUCCAAAACCAACUUUUAAUUAUCUAUUCUUUUGACACUGAGUUUAUUGACAAAAUGAUAUCAGUUAUUGUCAUAAAUUUCGGUAUCGGUAAAUUUCGGUUUAUCGCCCAGCCCUAUGAUUUGGUCAGCUGAUAGGGUUCUGUAUUCUGUGGGCUCCAAAAACCAGGUCACUUCUGCACACGCUUCGGCUCCACCCAUCAGCACUCAUCUACACAUCUCACAUUUGGAGGCGCAUAAAAGUCCAUUAAUAUUUAGUCAAUAAUUUAGACUUCGCCAGUUUUGAAUCCUGCAUUUGUAGAGGUGGGAAUGGCCUGAAUUAGGUAGCCUAUCGAAACAGUUUGUUUCCCUACUUAGAAAUUCUUGACUCUGCAUACAUGUGUAAUGCACACAAAAGAGGGAAAAGCUAGUUGUGGCCAUAGACUGUAUAUAGAAUGGACACCUUCUGCCUCCUUGUUGGGUGAAGCCACCCUGAGAACAGCACCCUCUGGUGACGGGCAGUAUAGGUCAUAAAUCCCACCUCCUCCAGCAAUCCCUGUGGAGAUGUGGACAAACUUUAGAAAUUAAUUACACAGAAUAUAAAUUUUUCUCCCCCCUGGUUGCGAUGUUGACAUGUAGUUACUGUCAGACUGGUUUGUGCUCAAGUCCUCUUUUUUCUGUACAGCUCCAUUUUUAAAAGUUAUUAGGGGGUUCAUGUUUUCUAUGAUUGACACUUGAUACAGCCUAUGGGCGUACGAAGAUUGUGUAGCUCACCUGAGGGAUACGCUGUUUGAGCCGAGCGUCAUCACAGCGACUCUCCCACCGAAUACAUACAACGCUCUCUGCGCUAGUGGUGGAGAAAAUCCUGUAAAUACCGAGAGCAAUUCGGCUUCAAAUCUGUAUAAUGACGGAAGGUGGAGCCAAGUUGUCCAUCAUGUAUACAGUCUACGGUUGUGGCUGGAAAACAUUAUAACUGACUGGAUUUACUUGGGAAGCAUUUUGCAAUUUCAGUUUGAUUCAACUUCAACAACAACAUUAUAAAGCACCUUAUAAAAAGAGACAUAUUUGAGGAAUUACAGGAAAAAUAGCUUUUUCUUCUUCCUCCGUUAUGUUGUGACUCUAAAAAUUCAACUUUAAACUCCUAUAGAGAAGUGUAGAGUCGAUUACAUCCAUGGGCCUCAUUUGCAAACUAAACACAGAGCACAUGAGAAUCUAUUUCUCAAGUGCUAUAGAUUUCACUCUCGGUGGGUGUCUGAAGAAAAACUCAACAGCACAAUGCAUAAACGGCCUCCCACACUCAUUUUAAAGAAUAGAUCUAACAGAUUCUCCAAGUGUGAAGUAGUAGUUCUCUGAGUAUUGUUGCAACAGCUCAAUAACCAUGACAACCCGAUGGUCAUGUUGAUGCUUCUUCGGAAAAAAAAAAGGAGUCACUGGGGGAGUUGUAUUGAAGACAGUCAGUGGCCGUUGUGUGGGUGGAGGAUGAAGAGGAGGAGGCACAAGACAACCAACCAUCACCUUACUGAGGGAGAAAAAGGCAUGAAAGAAGAGAGAAGAAAUUUCAGGAGAAUCAGAGCUUUUCUCCUUUGAGGCUUUUUGGCACUCACACACACACACACACACACACACACACACACACACACACACACACACACACACACACACACACACACACACACACACACACACACAUGCACACGCACGAACCUCUGGUUUGUUAGACCCACUUUAUAAUUAGACUUUGUGCUGCCACUAUCAUUUCUCAUCUCUGUGGAGAGGAGAGCAGCAGUCCUCAUCACUGCAACCUGCCUGCAAGGUGCUCAUUAAUGAAGUGACGGACACACACAUACACACACCUACACACACACACACACCCACACAUACACACACACCUACACACAGAGGAGCCCUCUCAACUUUAUUUACUCCAGCAGCUCAAAUAAUUGUGUUCAUCCCAUUUCUUAAAGCAGGACAGGUUUAUAACAGCUGUGAGAUAACACCUGCCCCAGCAAUCUGAGCAUGACUAAACAUGCAAACACACACACACACACACACACACACACACACAUGCAAAAUGGAAAUCUUGACAUCUUAAUUAUGAUGUUUAAGUCAGUUUAAAGGCUGCUGUGAUCCAUGUCAUUUGCCUCUCAUCAUUAUGUAAACUGUUCUGUCAGACACAGUAUAAUCAGCGCACGGUAAACUACGUCAUGUUUUAAUAUCUAAAUCUUUAUCAGGAGGUUCUGAAAACAAUAAUGUGUAUGUACUUGCUGAUUUUUACUGCUUUACAUAGGAGGCUGAUUUAGAAGUUAGAUUAGAUGGAGCUUUGUGUUGUUGGGGUCAAUGUAUUUGUUUAAACGUUUUCUGUUUCUCAUGUUUUGGUUGUUGUUAAGCUGGAGCCAAGACACCCAAGAAGGUCAAAUUCAUAAUAAUAGAGAGGCAGCGAUUUACACAUUUAGAAAAAUACAUCAUUAUGAUGCCAAAACAUCUAUAAAAAAGGGGGCUCUGUUGAGAGUAAGCUGUGCACUAAAACAGUUAUCGCACAUUAAAAGGUCCAUCUGCGUUUGCUUUGAACAACAUUUCCAGAUAGGUUAGUGCAGAUAGGUUUAUUUUCAGCAACACAAUUAUGUAACAUUGAUUAAAUUUGAUGGACCAAUUUCAUUUAUUUAUUUUCGUGUGGCUAUGCUGCCGCCUCUUCAGUGCAGGGGUUUGUUUAUGGAUGGAUUCAGCACAUGGCCAAUUAGGGUAGUCAUGUAAUAACUGAGGUCGAUGUUAAUUUGAUUUCAAUUAAUUUUUAUUGUCAUUUCAUUUUCAUACAUAUAUAAAUAUUAAAGUAAUCAUAUAAUAAGACUGUUAGGCUGCUGGGAUCGGCUUGUUCAGACUUUGCUAGAUCCGCUCAAAAUUCGCUCAAUGUGUGACCUCACUAAUUGAUAAAUCUUACCACACUUACCUGCUCUUUGUUGCUAAGGCUACAUUUCAUUAUUUUUAAUUUCAAAUAGAAAGCUAAACAAAGAUUAACCCCCAAAUUCAACCACAUGCAGAACAGCGGGGAUUUUCGCCGUCCGCCAAAUCCUACCAGGUGUGUUUGUGGGGCAAAUUUCAGACAGCAGGAAUCGUGAGGACUCCCAAGAACCCGCGAAUUCACAUGCAAUCACGGGAUUUGGAGUUGUCUCUAUAAAGGCAGACACAUAACCGUAUCAGCAGUAGAUUGUGUCCUUCCAGAGGAGGAAAUCUACUCUGUCCAGACCAGUAGGUCAGACACUUUUAUGAUCAGGCCACGCUAUAUCUUGUUUUAUGAUUGUCUUUAUAUUCAGGGACGAGACGAUUCAUAGAUUAUUCGUGAUUUUGGACUUCCAGAAUCAGCAUCUCCUCAUCCAUGGUGUCAAUGGGGUGAAAUGAUGCCUGAAAACCUGCGACUUGUUCGUCCCCCCGCCCAUAUUUGCAUGGUAUAAAAUAUGAUCCACCUGAAACAUGUAGUGUUUUAUUUUGUGUCUGUGCCUGAUUUCCUUUCCAGCAUGGGUUAAUCUGUGCUGAAUUUAUGCAGUAUGCUGCGGCGUCUGGAAAAAAACAGAACUUUGAUGAUUGGCUACAAAGCCAGCUGAAUCGCAGGGGGCCAGAAGCUCGUAGAAUCUGACUUAUUAACUUGAAUGGAAACCAUCAGUGGUGAUCAGUGCCGAUCCGCAUGCAGUGGAAUUUGAGUGUAACUCAAUGUCAACGAUUUUGACAACAGUGUUUGAGGGUUUAGGGUUUUUAGCGCUGAAAUUUAGAAUAAAUAUGAAUUUCUGAGGAAAAAAUCAUCUAAAACCAGGGAUUUUCCUGUCAAACAUACUGUAGUGUAAUGUACAAAAAGUAUUUAAUGUAUUCACAACAUCACUUUGGUUUCAUUCCACUCUAUGUGCAGAUGUAUUCAAAGGUUUUAUUUUGCUUUUGCUCUUUAGAAAAGUAUUCAAUAUAAUAAUGAUACUGGGGCACAUAAAAGGGCAUAAUCCCAGUGUUUAAUGAGCUCUAAUAGCCUCCCUGUGGUCGCAGCAGGAAUAUUCGUUCAGGGUUGUUGCUGAUUAGAAAAUGUUUAUUAUUCCAUAUUAGAAAAACUCAGGAAAGGACUGCAGGACACACACUUUUAAAGACCUGUCAAUUAUAUUUCUUGACUUUGAUUAUCCUGCCUGGCUAUUUGCGUGACUGAUUGUCAUGAUUCGUUCUGUUUAUUUUAUUUUCUCCUGGUUUUAAUUGAGUAUAUUUUGUGUGUUUUUUCUGUUCCCUAGUGUUCCUGUUCCCCUGUAGUCCAGUCUUGUGAGUUUUCAGUUUGUGUUUUACCCUGUUUCCCCUCCUGUUCUCUGUGUUUUAUUCUUUCGAUCAGUUUUCAGUGUUUAUUUCCUGUUUUAUUUUGUAGUAGUUUAUUCCUCGUGUUUCUAGUCUGGUUUUACUUCCCUAGUUUUCCCUCCUUCGUUAAUCGCCCAUGAGUUUCACCUGUGUCUCGUUUGCCUCACCUGUUGCUCGUUUCCCAGUGUGUGUAUAUAGUCCCUGUUUUCUCCUUUGUCUUUGUUGGUUCAUUGUGCAUUGAUGUGUGCGCGUAUGCUUGUAUCCCCAGUGUCUUUUGUUGGAUUUUGCCUUUUGACUGGACAUUUUAAAGUAAGUUUUUGCUGCUUUUCAUUCGGUUAUUUUAAAUAAAUAAUUUUCUUGUCUACGUUUUUGGUCAUUUCCCCUUUGUUUUUACUCUGGCACGUUACACUGGUAGCCAUUUAUUGAAGGUGAAAGUGUGAGAAAAAGACCUGAAAGCAGUUUGUGGUUUACAAAUAACUUUAACGGAGGAUAAAAUAGUAAACAUUUAAUGGCUUCAAUCGUAAAAUUCAUUCCAUUAUUCCAAAAUAUAUGUUUAUCUUCAUUAUUUGUUUAAGUCUUUGAUUUAUCUGCCAUCCAGUUGCUUUAAAAUUGAACCAUUAAAUGUGCCGUGCUCCAUUAAUCCACUAUUGAACAACAAACAGCGAUUAACUGCAUGACUGUGUGAAUAAAGAUCAAUCGAAGGUUUUCUAUUAUUAUCACACGCCUGGAUGAUUAAAAGCUAUCCUACCUGCUUCUAGCAUUUCAUUAAAAGGCUCUCACAUAUGCGCAUGUUGUUUUAUUAAAAUUCUAUCACAUUAAAGAGAUAAUUGAUUCGCUGAAUUUAUCUUAUCAUAUUACUGUCCCAUCAUAUCAGCUCCAGUAUCCAAUUACCGAGCAGAUUUCCAGCCCAGAGGCCAGCUGAUGCCUUUUGAACUAAGUCAUAAAACAUGCAUGGUCCAGUGGUGCCAUUUUCCAGCGUAAACCACUCAUUCCAGCAGUAUUGAUCCCUUAUAGAAAACAAGCCCUCAUUAUUUUUUCACAACUUUGUUUCAAGGGUGUCAGAUUUACUAUAGUCUCAUAUAAUAGAGAAAGGUAACAAAAACAGAAGGGAAGGGGAACAAAGGGACAAAUAUGAUUAAAGAAAAAACACAAUAAAAUGUGUAUGAUUUUAAUAAAUGUAAAAGAUAAUGCCCAGUUAGGUGUCUAUUGUUAGAUUUCUUUGGAUGAAAACCUGUAGACAUCCAUUCUAUGAUCAAUCAUUGAUAAUAUUUGUUGGUUUUGUAUUCAUGAUCUUGAGUUUUUCUCCAGGCUAAAAUCUCUUGUGUUGAGUUCUUUUAAAGUUUUAUAUUUCUACUCUGUAAAACCUUCAAAGUAGCUCUGUGUGAUUUACAAAAGAAAAAAAAAAAAACUAUCUAUCCCUCCAAGGUAUCUGUGGAAUCUCUUAGUUCUUGAGCACAGGAGAUUUCAGGCAAGUUCCCGCCUCCCUACAAGCCCUCUCUCCUCGGUUUGUCCAUCUCUUUGGGACAAUGUGGGAAAAAUUACUGAUCCUGUCGGGCAUAUGACCAUAUAAGGAGUUCAGUGACUUUGUGGUGCCGCAAAAUGGUAGGAAGAAAAAAACACCUGAAACCUGGCAUUUCAGUAUUUACAUUUACCAACUGAAGACGUACAGCAACUCUUGAAGGGAUGCUCCAGCACACAGUCAAACACACAGUAACACCGAGUUAGAACGUCCCCUGUUGCUGACUGCUUGCUUCUCUAGUUAUACCAACUUUUGCAACGACCGCAGGAUAGCGAUACACAGCGGACUACGUCUCCAUCUGUAAACCUCAACCAAAACGCCACUCUAUAAUGUUCAGAACAGCACCUAACCUCAUCAACAGCACAUAUAGGGUCCCGGCCAUAGCACUAGCCACCAAACAUCUUUUUAGCUUCGCCUAAUUUCUUUAGCAAAGAGACGAAACACAACUCACCCACUCUCCUCCAGCAGCCGCUUGUUUGUAGCGAAACCUCAGGCCAGUCCAUUACAGACUGCUGUGGGGUGACGCAGCUCAAGGAAGAACAUUUAUGAUCAUGGACUGGCCUGAGGUCUUGCUAAAAACAAGUGGCUGCUGGAGGAGAGUAGGUGAGAUAUGUUUAGUCUCUUUGCUAAAGAAAUUAGGCAAAGUUAAAAAGAUGUUUGGUGGCUAGUACUAUGGCUGGGACCCUAUAUGUACUGUUGAUGAAGUUAGGUGCUGUUCUGAGCAUUAUUUGUGGCUAUAGAGUGACGUUUUGGUUGAGGUUUGUUUAUGGCUCCUCAGACCGCUGUGCAUCGCUAUCAUUACUCAAGUUGGUAAAACUAGAGAAGCAAGCGGUCUGCAACAUUCAUCUCUCAAGGGGGUGUCUAACUUGGUGUCAUGUUGUGUUUGACCCUAAAUUAAUUUUACGCCGGAAAUAUUACAUUUACUACAAUAUACUACAAUACUACAUUUACUUACUAAAGGUUAGCCCUUCUUGUCUCUCUGUGCCAACUUAAAAAAAAUAAACCUUGUGCAAUGACUGACAAUAAAGCAGUGAUGAAUUUACAUGGACAAAUAUGUACUUUUUUUCACUCACUUCUUUGCUCUCCUCCUCCUUCUCUUAGCUGUAUUUUCCCAGUUUUACAUUCUUCAAAGAUGGCGGCCCUCUGCUAAUGUGUGUGCCAAGUGAUGGACUGAAAAGAACACAGAGACGUGGACGCAUCAGUGGAGAAGAAGUGAGACUGCAGGGACUGAGAGUGAGCAGGGCUAACAGGGAGGUAAUGGGACAUAUGUUGGAUGUGGUCACACGGGCUGGAGAAUUACCUGUGGUAAUUGGGGAACAGGGGAAGCAGCAGACAGAUUGUAUUACCUGAAGGACUUACACACCAAUCACACACACACAUACACACACAGGAAACCCAUGGAUCAGAGUAGAAGUAGCUCAGGCAACAUUGUCCAUGAGCUGUUCAGUUGACUUUGACUCCCACAGGUUAAGCGAUAAAAAUAAUCAACUGUAUUGGUUAUGUUUCAUGGUAUGGAGGUGGUUUGCAGGAGUUAUUUUAAAUGCUCUCUGAAUCACAGCUUUCACUCCUAACAUUCUCCCUCUUGUACUUGUAUGUUUCCACUUAGACUACCCAGAGCUGUAGGUCCAAAGGAACUACUUUUUGAAAACCUAGAAGCCUCCUUGUAGCAGCAUGUUGUCUGCAGUUGCAGGUAAAUGUCACUGUAUAUGCAGGAGAUUCGGCAUAUUUGGGUAUAAAAAGGCUUUUUUUUUUUGCACAUUAUUUUUGGAUGUGACAGGAUAACAAUGUCAAAGCCAUAUGAAGUGGUGUCAGAUUGUUAGAGGUCGCCGAUUUGAAUCUUGGUUGUAUUUAGUCCUCAGAAUAAAUGUUUAAUAUGAGUUCAGCUCCCCCUUUGCUGUCAUCUGCAAUUCUGUUGAUGCAUUAAAACUUGGACUAUCAGUGUCAAUGCAUUACUGAUGUUACAGAGGUGCAAAAGUUACACUUUAAAAUAAAAUAUCACUUGCUUUUCUGUUCCUGUUCUGGCUGCCAGUGUGAAAACUGUAAAUAAAGACACCACUGUGCCUUUAAACUGCAAAUUUCACUGAAAACAACUCCCAGAGUUUUCAGUCAGCAUGUCAGAAGUUAUACACACUCUGUGUCAAAGAGAAUAAAAAUAUUACCAAAGCUUAUCAGAAAAUGUUUACAAAGACGGAUACUGGACUACUGCAAGAAUCGAAUCAUUGCUAGAUGCACGUCCACCUCCACUACAGUAGGGGGCGACAUCCCCUUUUCAGCUUUGUACAACUUCAUUUGUUUACCACUCCGCUCCCUGCCAACCUGCUUAUGUUAUUAACCUUUUAGACUAAAGCCUGGGGUGAGAAUUUUGGAACAUGUGCAGACUGCUUAGGCCAGUUUAAGUCCAGUUGAGCUGUGUUCAUGGCAAAAGAAGAAUCAAUCCAAAACGACAUUAUCUAGGCGUAUUUGUCCAACUCAGGCAAUAAAUCAAGCUAAACCCAAUUCAACACAGCUCAACCAUAGACUGUUUAUAGAAUGGACGCCAUCUGCCUGAAGCCACCGUGAGAACAGCACCCUCUGGUGACAGGCUGCAGUAUAGGUCAUAAGUCCCGCCUUGUCCAGCAAUCCCUAUGGAGCCGUUGACAAACUUUGGAAAUAAAUAACACAGAAUAUAAUUUUUUCUCCCCCCUGGUUGUGAUGUUGACAUGUAGUUACUGUCAGACUGGUUUGUG
This 17959-nucleotide long non-coding RNA is filed under the name Xyrichtys novacula (pearly razorfish). The record is from RNAcentral. Lineage: Eukaryota; Metazoa; Chordata; Actinopteri; Labriformes; Labridae.